This 482-nucleotide ribosomal RNA is filed under the name uncultured bacterium. Its description in RNAcentral is "partial 16S ribosomal RNA". It matches the Rfam family "Bacterial small subunit ribosomal RNA", at positions 30 to 507 of the family's 1533-position model. The record is from RNAcentral.
AUUGAACGCUGGCGGCAUGCUUUACACAUGCAAGUCGAACGGUAACAGCACUUCGGUGGCUGACGAGUGGCGAACGGGUGAGUAAUACAUCGGAACGUGCCUAGUAGUGGGGGAUAACUACUCGAAAGAGUAGCUAAUACCGCAUGAGAUCUAAGGAUGACAGCCGGGGACCUUCGGGCCUUGCGCUACUAGAGCGGCUGAUGGCAGAUUAGGUAGUUGGUGGGAUAAAAGCUUACCAAGCCGACGAUCUGUAGCUGGUCUGAGAGGACGACCAGCCACACUGGGACUGAGACACGGCCCAGACUCCUACGGGAGGCAGCAGUGGGGAAUUUUGGACAAUGGGCGCAAGCCUGAUCCAGCAAUGCCGCGUGCAGGAUGAAGGCCUUCGGGUUGUAAACUGCUUUUGUACGGAACGAAAAGCCCUCUUCUAAUACAGGAGGGUCAUGACGGUACCGUAAGAAUAAGCACCGGCUAACUACGUG